UACGUAGGGACCAAGCGUUGUUCGGAUUUACUGGGCGUAAAGGGCGCGUAGGCGGCGCGGUAAGUCACUUGUGAAAUCUCUGAGCUUAACUCAGAACGGCCAAGUGAUACUGCAGUGCUAGAGUGUGGAAGGGGCAAUCGGAAUUCUUGGUGUAGCGGUGAAAUGCGUAGAUAUCACUCGGAAGGCCAAAGGCGAAGGCAAGCUACUGGCACGCAACUGACACUGAGGCACGAAAGCGUGGGGAGCAAACAGG
This 253-nucleotide ribosomal RNA is filed under the name uncultured prokaryote. Its description in RNAcentral is "partial 16S ribosomal RNA". It matches the Rfam family "Bacterial small subunit ribosomal RNA", at positions 524 to 776 of the family's 1533-position model. The record is from RNAcentral.